Bombina bombina (fire-bellied toad) is the source of this 517-nucleotide long non-coding RNA. RefSeq lists it as uncharacterized. Lineage: Eukaryota; Metazoa; Chordata; Amphibia; Anura; Bombinatoridae. The record is from RefSeq and is a predicted model, not a curated record. The transcript is spliced from 3 exons.
GCUGAAUGAGAAUCAAACUGUCACUCUGUCUUGUGAGUUUAACAGGAGUAAUUCAAAAUUUGUUCAAUUUUGGAUAUCAGAUAAUUCCAACUACGGAAGGCAAUGUUUAUCUUCAGUGGCACUUGAUGAGUCAUACAACAUUGAUAUUAAUAAGCAUUGCUGUGUUUCAAAGACAAUACAAGAGAGGAUCAAUGUGUGGAAUGGCUCGUUAUUCAUUGAUGAAGUACAGAAACACUACUUAAAUUUAACAAACGUUACAGCCUCUGAUAGUGGGAGGUACUUGUGUUUUAUCAUCUAUCAAAAAAAAAUGACACUUGUAAGUAACAUAACACUUCAAGUACAUGAAACUAAUGGUGCCACUCCCAUGCCAGGUGAUAUCUAUGGCCAGCGCCUAACUACCAACUGCAGUACACCUUCUGCAUUCCUGGUUCCAGCUAAUAAGCAAGACUUGUAUAUUAUCCUUGGAACUGUGGGAGGAGUCUUCAUUGGUAUAAUGUUUUUGGUGGUGUACUUUGUC